AAUGGACCGAGAUCGCCGCCGCGCUUGGCGGAGUUGCAAUCCGAAAAACGAGAGGCGAUGUCCUCAAACUUAGCCUUGCCAGAAAUGAUGUCGUCACGGAAGACUUUAAGCUGAGAGACUGCAGAGUCUCUGGUGGUGUUCUUGAUUACGCGACCUUCAGGAUCCUUCCAGGACGCCUUCCUUCGAGAGCCCUCGUGCUUUACGAGUAUGUGAGAUGCCCUGACCUGAUCGGCUGACGCCAUUUUCGACCUCUUCUUGCUCUUUUCCCUUUCUCUU
Molecule: unclassified non-coding RNA, 276 nt
Filed under: Hevea brasiliensis (rubber tree)
Lineage: Eukaryota; Viridiplantae; Streptophyta; Magnoliopsida; Malpighiales; Euphorbiaceae
Source: RNAcentral